UGCCGAGUAGCCAAGUGGUAAGGCAGCGGGCUUUGAACUCGCUAUCGUUGGUUCGAUCCCAGCCUCGGCAG
This 71-nucleotide transfer RNA is filed under the name Bacillus phage Grass. It matches the Rfam family "tRNA". From Rfam's summary of the family: Transfer RNA (tRNA) molecules are approximately 80 nucleotides in length. Their secondary structure includes four short double-helical elements and three loops (D, anti-codon, and T loops). The record is from Rfam by way of RNAcentral. Lineage: Duplodnaviria; Heunggongvirae; Uroviricota; Caudoviricetes; Herelleviridae.